This 445-nucleotide ribosomal RNA is filed under the name uncultured bacterium. RNAcentral's name for it is "partial 16S ribosomal RNA". It matches the Rfam family "Bacterial small subunit ribosomal RNA", at positions 354 to 796 of the family's 1533-position model. The record is from RNAcentral.
GUGAGGAAUAUUGGUCAAUGGGCGGGAGCCUGAACCAGCCAAGUCGCGUGAAGGAAGAAGGAUCUAUGGUUCGUAAACUUCUUUUGCAGGGGAAUAAAGUGCAGGACGUGUCCUGUUUUGUAUGUACCCUGAGAAUAAGGAUCGGCUAACUCCGUGCCAGCAGCCGCGGUAAUACGGAGGAUCCGAGCGUUAUCCGGAUUUAUUGGGUUUAAAGGGUGGGUAGGUGGUUUGAUAAGUCAGCGGUGAAAGUUUGCAGCUUAACUGUAAAAAUGCCGUUGAAACUGUCGGACUUGAGUGUAAAUGAGGUAGGCGGAAUGCGUGGUGUAGCGGUGAAAUGCAUAGAUAUCACGCAGAACUCCGAUUGCGAAGGCAGCUUACUAAGCUACAACUGACACUGAAGCACGAAAGCGUGGGGAUCAAACAGGAUUAGAUACCCGAGUAGUCC